UGGGGAAUUUUGGACAAUGGACGCAAGUCUGAUCCAGCCAUGCCGCGUGCGGGAAGAAGGCCUUCGGGUUGUAAACUGCUUUUGUACGGAGCGAAAAGGUCUGCCCUAAUACGGUGGGCUCAUGACGGUACCGUAAGAAUAAGCACCGGCUAACUACGUGCCAGCAGCCGCGGUAAUACGUAGGGUGCGAGCGUUAAUCGGAAUUACUGGGCGUAAAGCGUGCGCAGGCGGUUAUAUAAGACAGAUGUGAAAUCCCCGGGCUCAACCUGGGACCUGCAUUUGGGACUGUAUAGCUAGAGUACGGUAGAGGGGGAUGGAAUUCCGCGUGUAGCAGUGGAAUGCGUAGAUAUGCGGGGGAACACCGAUGGCGAAGGCAAUCCCCUGGACCUGUACUGACGCUCAUGCACGAAAGCGUGGGGAGCAAACA
RNAcentral lists this ribosomal RNA (427 nucleotides) under uncultured bacterium. Its description in RNAcentral is "bacterial SSU rRNA". It matches the Rfam family "Bacterial small subunit ribosomal RNA", at positions 355 to 774 of the family's 1533-position model. The record is from RNAcentral.